CGUUGCUUUCUUUUGCUGGCGGCCGGCGCACGGGUGAGUAACACGUAUCCAACCUGCCCUUUACCCGGGGAUAGCCUUUCGAAAGAAAGAUUAAUACCCGAUAGUAUAAUGAUUCCGCAUGGUUUCAUUAUUAAAGGAUUCCGGUAAAGGAUGGGGAUGCGUUCCAUUAGGUUGUUGGUGAGGUAACGGCUCACCAAGCCUUCGAUGGAUAGGGGUUCUGAGAGGAAGGUCCCCCACAUUGGAACUGAGACACGGUCCAA
RNAcentral lists this ribosomal RNA (260 nucleotides) under uncultured bacterium. Its description in RNAcentral is "partial 16S ribosomal RNA". It matches the Rfam family "Bacterial small subunit ribosomal RNA", at positions 68 to 334 of the family's 1533-position model. The record is from RNAcentral.